GUCCGUCGUAGUUUCAGCCCGAAAGGCAUGGCUGUUGGCCGAGAAGGUUGUCUCUUCCCUUUACUCUUCUAAGAGUAUCAGCACACUUGUCGACUUGCCUUGAAGGCCUCUUCAAUUGGCACUACUCUCCUCCAGAAAUGGAGGUGGCUGUCCAUUCCCAGGGCAGGCUCCAAGGAACUCCUGCUCGGCGGCGGCUCCGGCUUCGUGCGCUCCCGCGGG
Molecule: long non-coding RNA, 219 nt
Filed under: Gallus gallus (chicken)
Lineage: Eukaryota; Metazoa; Chordata; Aves; Galliformes; Phasianidae
Source: RNAcentral